AUUCGAAGGGAACUUUGUUUAGUUCUGGGUGUGGACAAAGCAAUUAACAAACUUUCUGGCUAAUUGGUGUCCAUUAAGUGUUGGUCUAUGGGGGAAAAGAAACGAAGCCUUCUGUUCAGAAACUGUGCUCGGAGUUUGCUAAGCAAGAACAAUCACAAGAUUCCCAAGGCGUUCAAACAAUCCGCCUGCUCUCGGCAAUAUUGGCUACCAGGAGCAAAGAGAAGAUCCUUCAUGAGUUCCCUGGGUCUGUCAAUUUAGACGAGGGGGCUGAGAAACUACCCUCCUUUCCUCAGAUAAUG
Molecule: long non-coding RNA, 299 nt
Organism: Halichondria panicea
Lineage: Eukaryota; Metazoa; Porifera; Demospongiae; Suberitida; Halichondriidae
Exons: 3
Source: RefSeq, a predicted model, not a curated record